RNAcentral lists this long non-coding RNA (2715 nucleotides) under Homo sapiens (human). Its description in RNAcentral is "HSALNT0129132". Lineage: Eukaryota; Metazoa; Chordata; Mammalia; Primates; Hominidae. The record is from RNAcentral.
CACACACCUCGCCCCUUCUCCCUGGGCUCGCUCUCCGGACCCUAACCCCUUCCCGAGCGAGGCCGAGCAACGCUCUCAGCAGCUGAACUAAGACUCCGGAGGCCGCACGUCCCCCUCAGCAGGCCCCGCCUGGGCCUCUCGGCUCGGCUGCCCUCCAUUGCACCCCUGGCCCAACCGUGCUGACGCGGAAGGGUGGGGCAGCACGAGCUCAAGGCCCGGCACUUACUCGGGAACAUCGUUACCCGAGCCCAGCGCCGGGCCAAUGUCCUAUCUCAGGGUUUCCCACGUCGCUCGCUCCUUGACGGCUGACCGACACUGGGUCUGAGGUGUAAGCGCUUUCCAGGCCCUUCCCUGGGGCUUGGAGGGGAAUGGCGCAAAGGACUUUUCUUACAAGCAGAAGUCUGUGAUGCCCUUCAUUGUAAACAUUUCUUGUGAGCCGCAUCCUACUAAUCUUGUGGCAUUGGUUUGCUCGGGAAUGACGUUCACCCACAGACCUGAAAAGUCCUUACAGAGUUGGGAAGCUGCGUGUCAUCAUUUUUUCAGUUGGCAAAUCUGCCCACUUUGAACUGACAUAAUUGUAGCCUAAAAGUUCAGAGAGAGAGUAGUUCAGGAAAAAGACUAUUCCUUCUUCUUAGAGGGAACAGCAGCCCUGAAAACUAUGUGGACAUCAUACCAGCUUCUUACAACAAAAGGUGCACUUGGUCUAAAUUAUCUGGCAGCUCUAGAUAACGUUCUCAUCAAGUACCUGUUUGUUGUAGUUAUGCAUAUUUAUUCCUUGGCUUAGCCACUGCAGUUACCAAAGAGUAUGUCGCUUAUUGUCUAAGAGGUUGGACUCCUGAAAGCCUGGACAGUGUCAUCAUCUUCACCUGAAGAGUGGAAAAAUUCAAGCAAAGAGUUUCUCAGGAAAUGACCAGGUAAAACAUCUGGAGUAAGUCAGCAGGAUUCACAGUGACUCCCCCCAACCAGCUGGUGGUGUUUCUCUCUGAAAGCAGCGCUUGGUACCAGUGUGAACUCUCUUCCUUCAGAAGUCUCAUCAGGUGUUUCAGAUGAGUUCUCCGGAAUUUGGACCUCCUACUCUUGGGUUGAAGGUGGACGUAAUACGAGGGUCUGGUCCCCCAUACCUUGAGGACUCCGCUGCCAUCUGACAAUUACAGACAAUCCAAUUGUCCUCAUCCUUGAGGACUCUGCUGCCAUCUGACAAUUAGAGACAGUCCAAAACAUGCCACACUUUGAUCCUAAACACAUUCCUGGCUUUGGUCACUUUUGAAAAGUUCCUGAGUUAUGAGAAAUCAAUAAUAAGAGUGUUCAAAACCUGAACACUCUUUUUAGAAAUACCUGCUGGAACUACAUAUAUGAUUUAUGGGGUACUGUCUUGUAGUAUCUGGGAAAGUAGACCCAUCUAACCUGGAAUGAUCAUAGGCAACAAUGACCAAAAAUGGGGAUCUUUUGAUAUACCUAAAGUAAUUUAUUUGUGCACACCAUUGGAAAGAGCUGGUUUUAGAACCAGACAUGUAAAUAAGAGACUGACUUCCACUGGCACCUAAAAACUUCUAAAAGAAAUCCUGAAAGAAAAAGUCACCUUCAUUCAAGAGGAAAUUCAUAGAAUAGGACCCUGACAAGUACUCUUGAAUACAGGUUUCUGAUAACUUUGGAGAUCAUAUCAUUGGACUAAGUAACAACUUUCAGGAUAUAAUUGGAGACACUUGUUAUUUUACUAAGGAUUUGACUGGAAUGACAUAUUUUCAGAUAUGACCAGACUGCUUUGAAGAAUGGAGGUUGACUCUAUAGAGGCAAUUAGAAAGCCUCUUGGAAAGACUGGCCUGGUCCCUUGUCUACGUAGUUCCCUUUCAAGAUUUCUGUCCUGUGUUAAGUAAAGAAUGUCACUUUCUGACAGGCCUGGGAACCUCAAAAUAUUUCCGCUGUGUAUCUCUCAUUGUUUUAUUUCUUCUGAGAAAACUAAAUUCAUGGUACACUGAAGAGGUGAUUCCACAAGUGAUGGCAGCUAUAAAUCAAUGACUGGUAGGACUACCUGGGCAUGAGCCUUUCUGGCAAUGAGGGAUACCUUGACACUCAGAUUUUGAUCAUCAGUGCUUUCAAAAGGAAAGAUUUUUGAUCAAAAGGAAGAAAUGAGAAAAAGAACUUUUAUCUGAAGAAUGCAAGUCCUUUCCAAUUAUCAGAUCCAGAGAGGUAUUAAAAUGAGACGGCAAUCCUGUCCUACACACACCCCCUUUUGAGGCAUGUACUCAUCUUUUUAUACUGCUUACUAUUGCCACAAGUAGCUGAAAAUUAGCCUACUGGUGCUGCACCAGACAUUAUAACCCAUAUCCUAUAGCUUAAUAAUGGAUAGCCAAUCAACAGCUUAUGUUAUGUUAAUGUAAAUUAUUGGUAAAUAACUCAGGAACUGCCUCUUCUUUCCUUUUAAAAACCCACUUGUGGGCCGGGCGUGGUGGCUCACGCCUGUAAUCCCAGCAUUUUGGGAGGCCAAGGUGGGCGGAUCACAAGGUGAGGAGAUCAAGACCAUCCUGGAUAACACAGUGAAACCCUGUCUCUACUAAAAAUACAAAAAAUUAGCCGGGCGUGGUGGCGGGCACCUGUAGUCCCAGCUACUCGGGAGGCUGAGGCAGGAGAAAGGCGUGAACCCAGGAAGCAGAGCUUGCAGUGAGCUGACAUGGCACCACUGCACUCCAGCCCGGGCAACAGUGCGAGGCCCUGUCU